ACAGACUUGAAAUUCUACGACUUAACUUCUGUGAAUUUAGAUUCACAAUUGUGCUCUGAAAUUCUUAGUUCUACCGUGCAUGACACCAGGAGAACAUGAAAGAGGUGAGGCCAUCUGGAAUUUCAAAAAGAAAUCCCUCAUUUCGAACUAGCAAUUCCCUUGUGGUAUUUGUGUCGAAAUCACUGACUAAUUUCUCUCCGUAAACUUUUUCUCAACGUACAUCAAGGGAAGUCAUGCGAUAAAUUCCGAAAUCGAAUAAUUUCCCAUCUAAAAUUCUAUAAAUAGAACCCCCAUGAUCCGUCAGUAUUUAAAUACAAGUGCAUGUGUUUGUGACACUCGCACAAUACUCUGGAAUAACGGAAUGUUAUCGCUGACGUGCUAGACAGCCUCGUAAAAUGACAAGACGUGACAUAAACUUGAGUAGAAGACUAGUAGGAGAUCAUGAAACGGUACAAUGUGCGACAAUGAUUGGAGGAAACCUCAGUACAUUUGCACAAAUGCAAUGGAAACGGUGACGUGGCUCUACUGGUGCAUUAAAUUAAUUUUUCAAAUCAGUUAAUCGAUAAUGCGAAGGCUCAAUAAUUUCAAAUCGAAGACAAAUGGAUCUAUCGUAGGACUCUCAUCUGUAGUCGUACACUGGCCCUUUAUCGGCUCCACAUCAAUUCCUGAUUUUUGAAUUUGCGUGAUGGUGGAAACCAGAAGGAAAAUCAAUUUUUCGAAGAAUUUUGGAAAUACCUGGCAUAAACGACCAUUUGAUAAACAUAAUUUCCUUUCAAGUUUAUCUCUGUAUCAUCUGAUCACCCAACAUUCACCCAAAUUUUAUGAAACCCAACACUCACUUCAAAAUCCUGUGGACAAGUACACGGAUGUUCACCAAUGAGUCUACAACAAACGCUCGGAUUCAUCGAUAGAACUCCCACCAUCGUGCUCAACAUAUCUGGACCCGAUAUAUAAGGGAAUUUCUUGUAUUUCAUAUCCGUGAAGACAAGAUUCCAGAUGCCAUGUCGCUUCACCAACUCUCCAUCCAUGGCCUUGAAUUAUACCAGCCCUGUUAUUUCAAUGAAUUUCCACCACGUCAUCUUGAAUAACAAUAACUAUCUACCAUUUUAAAGAGACUUCCCAUCCUGGCGGUGCUGGAAUAAAUUGCAUAAUACGAUGGUGACGGUCUCAUUAAUCGUAUCCUAGAGACUGUGACCUCGGAUAAAUCGUCAAUGACGACUAAUCGUAUUAUCGAGUUGCCGAUGAGAUAAUAAAGCGACUCGUUCAGGUCUGCAAUUUAUCCGUCAUCUCAAUAAUCUUGGAAUUGCUGGUGGACGAGUGCACCAACGUAAAAAUCAAUACAACUUGUUUUUUUCAAAAUCGUCACUAACAAUAUCAAAACAGCACUAGCAUAACUCAAAUUUGGAAAAUUGAGAUUUGAAAAGAAUUCCAAGGAAAAUUCAUAAAAAUUGACUUUUGGAAAAAAAUAAUUCAAUAAAUAAUUCCCUAGAUUGAUAAUUGAUACCCGUUGAUGUCGGAGUUCACAUAAAAAUUAACUAUGAAUAAUUAUAUGUGAAUUGUGAAUGAAUCUGGCAACGCUGGCGCCUAAUCAACAAGACAGCAAUUCAUAGCGGAGGUGACUACGUCACAGGGUCGUGUAAGAUGACUAGACUAAGCAAGUCGUCAAUGGCUUGAACAUAGGGAAUAAUUGAGCCACCUGUUCUUAAAUACAGAAUCGAAUUAUUGUAAGCCAGAGCCUGCAGUUUAUCCCACCCGGUGUACGUGGUAUCCAAUACCAGGGUGAUGCCAUCAAAGAGUGCAGCGCACACUGGAACAUUGUAAUCCGGGAUAAACAGCUGUACUGCGAGUAUCCUCGUCAAAUGCUUCAAUUGCGCACAUAAAGGGGGUCAAAAAUCAAUUAUAAUCAAUGUGAUCAACACAUUUAACAAUGCCAUCACUUCUAUCUUAUCUGAUUUCUUAAAUUGCAGCAUUGGGAUUAUUCAUUGGGGCUCAAUAUUACGAGUUCAUUGAGGCGACGAAAAUUUAAUUAAAGACUUCAUUCUCCAUAGUAAUCCAUAUUCUAAGAGUUUCUUAAUUUUUGAAGACUGUUAUUACUGAUCAAAUAUCAGAUCCAUUAUUUAUUUAUUAUUUACUUAAUUUUAAGAAUAUUUUGAAAAAUAUUCUUACCUUGCUGGAAGCUCCCUUCGACAUUGUGCCGAUCAACUUGCACCGACUUGACAUCAACACUAACUUUAUCACUCUCAUGAGCUUUCUCAGCUGCCGGUAUGACAUCAUCCAGUAGCUUCACGACGCUGACAUCAGAGUUUUCCACGACAACCACUAUUAUCCGAAGAAAUGGAAAUUAUCAAAGAACUAAAUUACCUGUAACUUUCUCUCCCGCGGGAUUCGACUACAACCCAUUUAUAAAAAAAACUUACAGAGUUUGAUCUGAGACUGGGACUCGGCGCAACAACUGAAGAAACUCAAUGCAAUUGCAGUGAUGACCCACAGGUUGAUCAUGGUGAUGCAUCGAUGAGCCCAUCGACGAAUGUAACUCCAUGUCUUCUAUAUUCACCUGAUGCGGUGAACCAGGAGUCAGCCAGGAGGCUCACGCCUGCGCCCCCUGGAAGCCCUGGCAUAUCUACGUGUACAAAGGCAUAUGAAUAAUUAAUCAGCCCAUCGAAUCAUUUCUUCAGGCUUCACGUGUACGUUCAAGUGGAACCACUCGAUAAUCCCCAAAUCCUCGAUUAUUCCUUCUCCACUUCCGGCUUGUGACAUUACAGUGCCAUUUCUACCCUUCAACCGUUGCCGAAUUUUUAUUGUAGUCCCUUCGGCGAUGACGAAUAGGUCAAUAAUCAUGACGAUAACUAUGGUUUCCCCUCUGUUUUCAUACAAUACAUAUUGAUAUAUUGAUCGGUAUGGAUUUUUUAUGCUGUGCUUGUUGUUCUUCGAUUUUUUUUUCUUGUUUGACGUGAAGAAAUUUACAUGAAUAAUUACAGUCAAGGAAUGGUGGGGGAAUCAUCCUUAAUGAUGGAUGGUCGAGUGUCCACCUCACAGUGUAUUUACCUCAACCAAUUUCAACUGGACAAUCAGAUGAAAUAUCUCGUUAUCAAAUGCAUUCGAUCCAGUCAAAUAAUAAGAAAAUUCUGGGAGCUUUGUCAUUCAACAUUAUGAUAUUCACGCAAAUAAUGGAGAAUUUCGUAGAAUUACGUAGACACUAUCACCUAAACCCAAAAUGCAACGGAACAGAUAAUAUCGAUUGUCAACUUCCUGUCGCUGGUAUUGGCAAGGCACUGAGGAACUGAAACGUGUGACUUAUCUUCAAUCGAAUAUCGCCGGUGCUGUUUAUUGGAAAUGGCUCAUGUGGCGGUGUACCUGAUGAAAUGGGAAAUAAAAAAGGCUGGGGAGGGACAUUAAAUUUUAACAGUUAGCCCACUAAAUGUGGACUUCCUCCUUCGUGUCACUAUGCUCGGCUUCAGGAACCUCGAGACAUUCUCACGGAUUUUGUAAAUUGAUCUCACCGACGCAGGAAAUUAUUGUACAUUCAUUUGGAAUUUUAUUUACCGUUUUUUUUUCGUGAAUAUUUCUGUAAUUCUUGCUACAUGAAGAUAUUGCUCUAGAUGAACUAGAACGUUGUGGGUGUCAAUAAUUUGGAAUAGUUAUUGGCAAAUACUGUAGCGUAUUUGUUCUCGUCCACUUAAAGGACGUGUUUGGUGAAUUUCUAUUCUCGUGACUUAUUAUUUAUUGUGUGGAAAUAAUUUACAGGAAAUAAUUUAUUUAUUGGUUUCAAAGAUUACUUAACUGUCCUUAGGAUUAAAUUAAUUCGUGAACAGUGGAUGCCCUUGUUAGGAAUUUUUAUGACCAGGCUAUAAAUAAUUUAUUAACAGCCGGUGGAUUGGAAUUCUUUUCAGUGCUCGUACAACAUUUUUUCUAGAAAUUUUCUCGACGUGUAAAUAUCCGAAGACUCUCCUUGGACUCCACUUGGAACUUCAGGUGUGAAAAUACCGCGGCAGAUAUCGUCAGGGCAAAAUCAGUGAACUCAAUCGACAGUCCAAUGCCAACCGAUUCUGUUCACCAUCGGUAGAGCUAUGGGGGAAGGGGCUCACCUCCCCCUAGCUUGAUUAAUUUCUAUGCUCGAGAAGGUUCAUGAGUCAACGAUGCGCAGUCGCUCAGUGGAUAUACCAUAAUUCACAAGACAGCGAAAAAAAAAUGAAAAGGGAAAAAAUUGGAAGAGAUUGCUCUGCAGAUGUUUCACUUCCAAGGCGGCAGGUGAGCCGAGAUGCUUCGAUAACUCCCGGAUAUUUUUAAAUGCUUCGCCGCGCGCGAUUCGUUCGCGCCCCGGUGUCCACGAUCUGCUACCAUUAUCGCUGAGAUUUUUCAACUUUCCGAGAUUUUGAUUGAGUCAAUGAGUAUUAAAAAAAUUAAUUAUACCGCAACUGAAUAGAAGGGGAAGGGAUUUUCUAAUCGCAAUAUUUUCUAUCCCAAGAUAAAAUUCCUAUGAAACGCGUGUCAAUUUUUUCUUCUACUGAUCAUCAAGAUUUUUUUUAGAAAUAAAAUUUAUGAUUAGA
This is an RNA transcript of Diachasmimorpha longicaudata, 4547 nucleotides long. RefSeq lists it as uncharacterized. NCBI's taxonomy places the organism in Eukaryota, Metazoa, Arthropoda, Insecta, Hymenoptera, Braconidae. The transcript is spliced from 5 exons. The record is from RefSeq and is a predicted model, not a curated record.